GAGGAAUAUUGCGCAAUGGGGGAAACCCUGACGCAGCGACGCCGCGUGGAUGAUGAAGGCCUUCGGGUCGUAAAAUCCUGUCAGAUGGAAAGAAUGGUUUAUAGGUUAAUACCCUGUAGAUUUGACGGUACCAUCAAAGGAAGCACCGGCUAACUCCGUGCCAGCAGCCGCGGUAAUACGGAGGGUGCAAGCGUUGUUCGGAAUUACUGGGCGUAAAGCGCGCGCAGGUGGUUUGCUCAGUCAGAUGUGAAAGCCCACGGCUUAACCGUGGACUGGCAUUUGAUACUGGCAGACUUGAGUACUGGAGGGGGUAGUGGAAUUCCCGGUGUAGAGGUGAAAUUCGUAGAUAUCGGGAGGAAUACCGGUGGCGAAGGCGACUACCUGGCCAGAUACUGACACUGAGGCGCGAAAGCGUGGGGAGCAAAC
This 426-nucleotide ribosomal RNA is filed under the name uncultured bacterium. RNAcentral describes it as "bacterial SSU rRNA". It matches the Rfam family "Bacterial small subunit ribosomal RNA", at positions 356 to 773 of the family's 1533-position model. The record is from RNAcentral.